This is a long non-coding RNA of Hylaeus volcanicus, 744 nucleotides long. RefSeq lists it as uncharacterized. NCBI's taxonomy places the organism in Eukaryota, Metazoa, Arthropoda, Insecta, Hymenoptera, Colletidae. The transcript is spliced from 8 exons. The record is from RefSeq and is a predicted model, not a curated record.
AUCCAGCGUCACUGCGAGUCUUUCACUUUCAUUUUGGACAUCGCCACGAGUGGUUUGAAGGCGUUAAAGUAAAUCGGCUUUUCGAAACGUGCUUUGGAACGCGUUGACGAACUUUGGUUUCGAUUUCUUUGCGAUUUUUCUAGAAAACAUGCAUAGAUUUGAACUUCCUUACUUUGGUCAAAGUUCGUAUGCUGUUAAUGAUAUAGAAAGGAACGAUGAUAAUGGUUAAUAACCAUCGAGAUCCUGAUUCCGAUAUUGAUCCACACUAACCGUUACAAAAUCUGUAAAUACGAGUUUGAAGCAGGAUGCAGCUGAAAAGUGCGCAAUGUGAAUCUGGUGGGCUUGUAACAAAUUCUUCGUGCGAUCGUAUAUGAAAGAAUUCUCUGAAUAGGGUAAAACAACCUUGGAAUUGCAGGCACUUUCUGUUUACGCUCGAGAAUAUGUUACAGGCGUGUUGUAACGUUCCAGAUUAACCUCAAGAUUUGGAAUAUUAACUGUUCGAAGGAAACUACCAGCAAUAAAGUAAAACACAAUGUAACCAUUUAGGAAAAGUCAGUUUUAUUUGGUGAAAGAUUGAUUGUACAUUUAAACGGUACUAUAAAAUGUAAUAAACUCUACUGGACUACACUGUCGAGUUAUUAAAAAGUAAAGCUUUACAAAGAAUGGCACGGAUGCGGUAAGUUUAGGCCAAUAUUAGAAAAAGUGUACGUGUGAAGAAGAAUAAAAUUAUAAGGAAAAAAAGGA